AUUGUUUCCUCCAUAAGUGUGGGUUAUUGCAUUGUUGUUGUGAGAGGGUUGUUUCUGUUGUUGUUGUUGUUGUUGUUGUUGUGCUUUAUCCAAUAGUUCCAAAGGAGAGAGAUCAUCUACCUUCACAGACAGAAUGAUUGGACUAUAUUUAUAUGAGAGAAUGGAAAAGAGCCUUGUUGGCUAGUUUGCUGCUUCACGAUUAUUUUAAAAGUUACUGUAUGCUGUAUGGAGAAAUGGAUUACAUACUGGUGGAUCUUCAGUAAUGUCAGGUGAGCAAUGUGUCCUCUUUUCUUGACAUUCAGAGUCUCUGAGGAGUUUGGGAACAGCCAUUGAUUUUGGAGAAUACACAUAAAAUUGAGAGAGAAAAUCCAUAACCCAAUAAAAAAAAUAUGGAUGAUGUGAUUUCAAGGAGAAAAGGAAAUAUGUGAGAUGAUGGGAAUCCCUUUGUUUGGUCUACCAUCCACAGGCUGAGGAGGAUGUGAGAGGACAUCCUUUUAACAAGACAGGUAUGCUUCUUUUUUUCAUUAAAUGUAAUGCAUUGUUUCCUCCAUAAGUGUGGGUUAUUGCAUUGUUGUUGUGGGAGGGUUGUUUCUGUUGUU
Pelobates cultripes (western spadefoot toad) is the source of this 599-nucleotide non-coding RNA. The record is from the annotation of a GenBank genome assembly. Lineage: Eukaryota; Metazoa; Chordata; Amphibia; Anura; Pelobatidae.